This 202-nucleotide long non-coding RNA is filed under the name Elaeis guineensis (African oil palm). RNAcentral's name for it is "long non-coding RNA (EGUI_LNC046034)". The record is from RNAcentral. Lineage: Eukaryota; Viridiplantae; Streptophyta; Magnoliopsida; Arecales; Arecaceae.
UCAUUUUUAGUUCUUGAGCUAGUCUUUAUAACUUGAUCGGUUAGUCAAUUGCUUUUAAAUUUGUGAGGAUUAGAAGUCAAUUUUUAUCAGAGAGUAGAGAUUCUAGUUAGAUUUGUGUACUUAAUUUUAAAUUUAUUUUAAAAAUUUUCAGAAAUAAAUUAGACUCUCACUAUUCUCACAGAUCUCUCACACUCUCCUGUGA